RNAcentral lists this ribosomal RNA (200 nucleotides) under uncultured bacterium. RNAcentral's name for it is "partial 16S ribosomal RNA". It matches the Rfam family "Bacterial small subunit ribosomal RNA", at positions 114 to 334 of the family's 1533-position model. The record is from RNAcentral.
CGCGUGGGAACGACCUUUGGUUCGGGAUAACCCAGGGAAACUUGGACUAAUACCGGAUAAGCCCUUACGGGAAAGAUUUAUCGCCGAAAGAUCGGCCCGCGUCUGAUUAGCUAGUUGGUGAGGUAACGGCUCACCAAGGCGACGAUCAGUAGCUGGUCUGAGAGGAUGAUCAGCCACAUUGGGACUGAGACACGGCCCAA